GAAGAUAAUGGACGACCAUCUAUGACGUCUAUAUGAAAAGGUUUAAUUUUCUUUACUAAAGAUAUGCUAUGUCUUUUGAUAAAUUCUUCAUCUAAGAAACACGCUGAGGCUCCUGAAUCUAACAAGGCAGAGGCUUUGUAAUGUUUAGGUCCUAAAAUAACAUUUAAUGUAAAACAAAGAGAGGGUUUUAAAGGGAGAAUAGGACCUUUACUAGAUGUUGUGCAAGGUUUUAGCCGCACGGUCCCUACUGUAGCUGGACAAACUUGUUUUUUGACAUUUUAUCUUCUUUCAUAGCCAUACUUCUCAUUUUGUGGUUGUGUCAUUUCUUUGGACAAUGUUGAGCAGUGUAUUUUGGUUCU
RNAcentral lists this long non-coding RNA (359 nucleotides) under Physcomitrium patens. RNAcentral's name for it is "long non-coding RNA (PPAT_LNC003897)". Lineage: Eukaryota; Viridiplantae; Streptophyta; Bryopsida; Funariales; Funariaceae. The record is from RNAcentral.